AUGAUGGAGAGCGAGACCCCACCCACCUCUCUGCCUCAUGAAGCGGGCGACACCGAAGUGUCGUCACGGAGGAGUCCGGAUCUGCCGAAGCCAGAGGCUAAUACGUUAGCUGCCCUGAGCCCGGAGCAUUUGGCUCCCACGGGGGGUGAUGAGAAGGGUCCGGCACAGUUUGAUGUCUGGCCGGACAUACUGACAGGCCUUCUAGAGCGAGUUGCGCUCUCGGAGGAGCACCGCUCAUUAAUGAGCAUGGUGCUCAAGAAUAUUUCAUCCGCUACAAGCGGUUUGAAUGAAGCAUUUACGAGCCUGCUCAGUGGCUUUGAGGUAUGUAUGGGUCCGGUAGCCGACUAG
This 348-nucleotide ribosomal RNA is filed under the name Triticum aestivum (bread wheat). Its description in RNAcentral is "partial small subunit ribosomal RNA". Lineage: Eukaryota; Viridiplantae; Streptophyta; Magnoliopsida; Poales; Poaceae. The record is from RNAcentral.